RNAcentral lists this ribosomal RNA (468 nucleotides) under uncultured bacterium. Its description in RNAcentral is "partial 16S ribosomal RNA". It matches the Rfam family "Bacterial small subunit ribosomal RNA", at positions 28 to 507 of the family's 1533-position model. The record is from RNAcentral.
GACGAACGCUGGCGGCGUGCUUAACACAUGCAAGUCGAACGGAAAGGCCCUGCUUUUGUGGGGUGCUCGAGUGGCGAACGGGUGAGUAACACGUGAGUAACCUGCCCUUGACUUUGGGAUAACUUCAGGAAACUGGGGCUAAUACCGGAUAGGAGCUCCUGCUGCAUGGUGGGGGUUGGAAAGUUUCGGCGGUUGGGGAUGGACUCGCGGCUUAUCAGCUUGUUGGUGGGGUAGUGGCUUACCAAGGCUUUGGCGGGUAGCCGGCCUGAGAGGGUGACCGGCCACAUUGGGACUGAGAUACGGCCCAGACUCCUACGGGAGGCAGCAGUGGGGAAUAUUGCACAAUGGGCGGAAGCCUGAUGCAGCAACGCCGCGUGCGGGAUGACGGCCUUCGGGUCGUAAACCGCUUUCGCCUGUGACGAAGCGUGAGUGACGGUAAUGGGUAAAGAAGCACCGGCUAACUACGUG